GCGGAUUAGAAAGUCUGGUGUUAAAAGCAAUUGCUUAACGAUUGUAUGCAUUGGAAACUUCUAGUCUAGAGUUUGGUAGAGAGUCCUGGAACUCCAUGUGGAGCGGUGAAAUGCGUAGAUAUAUGGAAGAACACCAGAGGCGAAGGCGAGGACUUGGGCCAAUACUGACGCUUAGGCUUGAAAGUGUGGGGAGCAAAUAGGAUUAGAUACCCUAGUAGUCCACACUGUAAACGAUGGAUGUUAAGUGUCGGAGCGAAUACUUCGGUGCUGCAGUUAACACAUUAAACAUCCUGCCUGAGUAGUACAUUCGCAAGAAUGAAACUCAAACGGAAUUGACGGGGACCCGCACAAGUGGUGGAGCAUGUUGCUUAAUUCGACGGUACACGAAAAACCUUACCUAGACUUGACAUCUUGGGCGAAGCUAUAGAAAUAUAGUGGAGGUCAACCCAAUGACAGGUGGUGCAUGGUUGUCGUCAGCUCGUGUCGUGAGAUGUUGGGUUAAGUCCCGCAACGAGCGCAACCCUUAUCGUUAGUUACUUUGUCUAACGAGACUGCCAACGUAAGUUGGAGGAAGGUGGGGAUGACGUCAAAUCAUCAUGCCCCUUAUGUCUAGGGCUGCAAACGUGCUACAAUGGCCAAUACAAACAGUUGCAAAUCCGUAAGGUGGAGCUAAUCUGUAAAGUUGGUCUCAGUUCGGAUUGAGGGCUGCAAUUCGCCCUCAUGAAGUCGGAAUCACUAGUAAUCGCGAAUCAGCCAUGUCGCGGUGAAUACGUUCUCGGGUCUUGUACACACCGCCCGUCAAACUAUGAGAGCUGGUAAUAUCUAAAACCGUGUUGCUAACCGCAAGGAAGCGCAUGUCUAGG
This 863-nucleotide ribosomal RNA is filed under the name Mycoplasmoides gallisepticum. RNAcentral describes it as "bacterial SSU rRNA". It matches the Rfam family "Bacterial small subunit ribosomal RNA", at positions 575 to 1461 of the family's 1533-position model. Lineage: Bacteria; Bacillati; Mycoplasmatota; Mycoplasmoidales; Mycoplasmoidaceae. The record is from RNAcentral.